This 327-nucleotide ribosomal RNA is filed under the name uncultured eukaryote. Its description in RNAcentral is "SSU rRNA". It matches the Rfam family "Eukaryotic small subunit ribosomal RNA", at positions 587 to 895 of the family's 1831-position model. The record is from RNAcentral.
AGCUCCAGUAGCGUAUAUUAAAGUUGCUGCAGUUAAAAAGCUCGUAGUUGGAUUUCUGGCAUGAUACGCCUGACCCGCAUCUUUAUGAUGUGAGUAGUCGGUGCGCGUCUGCCAUCUUAAUCAGUGAAUGUGGAUCUGCCCUUUAUUGGGAUAAGCGCAAGCGAGAGCGGCAGGAACUGGAUCGAUUACUUUGAAAAAAUGAGGGUGUUCAAAGCAUGCAAUAGUCUUGGAUCUAUUAGCAUGGAAUAAUAUCAUAGGACCUUGGUUCUAUUUUGUUGGUUUAUCGAAUUGAUGUAAUGAUUGAUAGGGAUAGUUGGGGGUGCUAGU